GAUGAAGAACGCAGCGAAAUGCGAUAAGUAAUGUGAAUUGCAGAAUUCAGUGAAUCAUCGAAUCUUUGAACGCACAUUGCGCCCGCCAGUAUUCUGGCGGACAUGCCUGUUCGAGCGUCAUUUCAACCAUCAAGCCCCCGGCUUGUGUUGGGGACCUGCGGCUGCCGCAGGCCCUGAAAAGCAGUGGCGGGCUCGCUGUCACACCGAGCGUAGUAGCAUACAUCUCGCUCUGGGCGUGCUGCGGGUUCCGGCCGUUAAACCACCUUCAUAACCCAAGGUUGACCUCGGAUCAGGUAGGAAGACCCGCUGAACUUAAGCAUAUCAAUAAGCGGAGGA
RNAcentral lists this unclassified non-coding RNA (336 nucleotides) under soil metagenome. Its description in RNAcentral is "partial contains 5.8S ribosomal RNA, internal transcribed spacer 2, and large subunit ribosomal RNA". The stretch from base 1 to 120 matches the Rfam family "5.8S ribosomal RNA", at positions 35 to 154 of the family's 154-position model. The record is from RNAcentral.